UACGAAGGGGGCUAGCGUUGCUCGGAAUUACUGGGCGUAAAGCGCGCGUAGGCGGGCCGUUAAGUCGGGGGUGAAAGCCUGGGGCUCAACCUCAGAAUUGCCUUCGAUACUGGCGGCCUGGAGCAUGAUAGAGGCGAGUGGAAUUCCCAGUGUAGAGGUGAAAUUCGUAGAUAUUCGGAGGAACACCAGUGGCGAAGGCGACUCGCUGGAUCAUUGCUGACGCUGAGGCGCGAAAGCGUGGGUAGCAAACAGG
This 253-nucleotide ribosomal RNA is filed under the name uncultured bacterium. RNAcentral's name for it is "partial 16S ribosomal RNA". It matches the Rfam family "Bacterial small subunit ribosomal RNA", at positions 524 to 776 of the family's 1533-position model. The record is from RNAcentral.